CCGAUGGAGGGCGGGAGAUUGCUUGGAUGGCGAUCCAUGGCGAUCGGGAUUGGGCCAAUCGAACGACGUCUUUCACGGUCAUACCAGCCUGCCUACAUCUAGGCAGAAAAGGUUGGAUUCAGCCUAACAAGCAAUCAACUGGACAAGGCAAUGACAGGAUCAUAGCAUAGCAAGGUAGAGGUGUUGAGGACUUACAAGUAAUUUUGAGAGAGGCAGAAAGAUAUCCUGCUUCUAUCUUUUGGCUCUUGACACCUACCUGCCACUCAAUAAUAGUGUUGGGUCAAUGCAUGAGAGAACAACAACAACAACAAGAGGACAUUGUUCUUACCCCAGUUUAUUGGUACCACCUCCAAGUCUCCACCAUUCCCAUCUCCUUCUGCUGCUCCUUAUCUCAUCCAUCCACUCUUCCAGGAAGAUCUCCAUGGAGAAAAAGUCCGAGAGGCCAAGUCGACACCAGAGGAAUGCGUCGCGGGGUGUCUUUGCUCUCCCUGAAAACUUCUCCAGCUCUGAAGCUCCUCCAGUGGAAGUUAGUGAGCAGAAGACGGCAUGCAAGCCGGCCCAGAAUCCACCUGAUGGUCGUCCUUCAGCUUCGCUGCAACAGGAGCUGAAGAGCAGUGUUACUAAAAAUCACUGAGGCUGUGUGCUUAAUCUGUGUCUUUGCACUCUUUGUAAUAGAUGCACUUUCCUAUCUCUAUAACGCCACAAUAGUUUCACUGUCCUGUGAGUGCAUGCCACCAGCAGUUGCUGCAAUGCAAAAUAAAUGGACAUCAAGAGCUAGUUCUUAUGAUUUAUCCU
Musa acuminata subsp. malaccensis (wild Malaysian banana) is the source of this 795-nucleotide non-coding RNA. Lineage: Eukaryota; Viridiplantae; Streptophyta; Magnoliopsida; Zingiberales; Musaceae. The record is from RefSeq and is a predicted model, not a curated record.